CCUACGGGAGGCAGCAGUAGGGAAUAUUGGUCAAUGGGUGAGAGCCUGAACCAGCCAUGCCGCGUGCAGGAAGAAGGCCUUCUGGGUUGUAAACUGCUUUUAUCCGGGGAUAAAAACACUGUGCGCAGUGGAUUGAAGGUACCGGAGGAAUAAGCCACGGCUAACUACGUGCCAGCAGCCGCGGUAAUACGUAGGUGGCAAGCGUUGUCCGGAUUUAUUGGGUUUAAAGGGUGCGUAGGCGGCCUGUUAAGUCAGUGGUGAAAGACGGCAGCUCAACUGUCGAGGUGCCAUUGAUACUGACGGGCUAGAGUACUGAUGAGGUAGGCGGAAUGGACGGUGUAGCGGUGAAAUGCAUAGAUAUCGUCCAGAACACCGAUAGCGAAGGCAGCUUACUAAGGAGUAACUGACGCUGAGGCACGAAAGUGUGGGGAUCAAACAGGAUUAGAUACCCUUGUAGUC
RNAcentral lists this ribosomal RNA (459 nucleotides) under uncultured bacterium. RNAcentral's name for it is "bacterial SSU rRNA". It matches the Rfam family "Bacterial small subunit ribosomal RNA", at positions 338 to 795 of the family's 1533-position model. The record is from RNAcentral.